Molecule: non-coding RNA, 738 nt
Organism: Cyprinus carpio (common carp)
Lineage: Eukaryota; Metazoa; Chordata; Actinopteri; Cypriniformes; Cyprinidae
Source: the annotation of a RefSeq genome assembly
CAAGACACAACAACAACAAUGAACAACAUCAUCAUCCUCAUCUGGACUCUGACUCUCUGCAUUCAGGAGAUCUGGGGACAAAUGACAGUGACUCAGAAUCCAGCGAUAAAAUCAAUCAGUCAAGGAGAAACUGUUACUAUCAGCUGUAAAACCAGUCAGACACUUUCUGGCUGUAGUAACUGUGUGUCUUGGUAUCAGCAGAAACCUGGAGAAGCUCCUAAACUCCUCAUUUAUUACACAAGCAGCCUCCAGUCAGGAACUCCAUCUAGAUUCAGUGGCAGUGGAUCUGGCACUGAUUUCUCUCUGACCAUCAGUGGAGUCCAGACUGAAGAUACAGGAGAUUAUUACUGUAUGAGUCUACAUCAGAUCAGUAGUAGCUGGGUGUUCACACAGUGAUAAAAAGUCGUACAAAAACCUCCGUCAGUCAGAGUCACAGUGACUGCACUGAUACAGCUGAGAGACACUGCAGCUGCUGAUGGAGGUUAUUUCUUAUAACAGUAUCAUUUACUUAAAAUAUGUUUAAGUCUUGUACUGAUUUAUGAGUCUUUCUGGAUCUUUAAUGUGUUACACACUCAUAGCUUCACCAUUGAUGUAUUUAAUUCAUCAUUCAAAAUGUUCCACCAUUAAACAAUCCAAUGAAAUCUGACGAUACUUACAGCAUGCAGUGAAACAGCAGCCAGAGUCCUCGUGUCCUUUCAAUCCAGAAUUACACUAAAUGAGUUCUGCAUAACAUCUCCU